This 836-nucleotide ribosomal RNA is filed under the name Haptophyta environmental samples. Its description in RNAcentral is "bacterial SSU rRNA". It matches the Rfam family "Bacterial small subunit ribosomal RNA", at positions 481 to 1325 of the family's 1533-position model. The record is from RNAcentral. Lineage: Eukaryota; Haptophyta.
GAGGAAUAAGCAUCGGCUAACUCCGUGCCAGCAGCCGCGGUAAUACGGGGGAUGCAAGCGUUAUCCGGAAUCAUUGGGCGUAAAGCGCCUGUAGGUUGUUUAUUAAGUCUGUUGUUAAAGACUAGGGCUUAACCCUAGAAAAGCAAUGGAAACUAAUAGACUCGAGUAUGGCAGGGGUAGAGGGAAUUUCUAGUGUAGCGGUGAAAUGCGUAGAUAUUAGAAAGAACACCGGUGGCGAAAGCGCUCUACUGGACCAUUACUGACACUCAGAGGCGAAAGCUAGGGUAGCAAAAGGGAUUAGAUACCCCUGUAGUCCUAGCCGUAAACGAUGGAUACUAGAUGCUGUGCAUUAAGUACAGUAUCGUAGCUAACGCGUUAAGUAUCCCGCCUGGGGAGUACGCUCGCAAGGGUGAAACUCAAAGGAAUUGACGGGGGCCCGCACAAGCGGUGGAGCAUGUGGUUUAAUUCGAUGCAACGCGAAGAACCUUACCAGGGCUUGACAUACUACGAAUUCUUUUGAAAAAGAGAAGUGCCUUCGGGAAUGUAGAUACAGGUGGUGCAUGGCUGUCGUCAGCUCGUGUCGUGAGAUGUUGGGUUAAGUCCCGCAACGAGCGCAACCCUUAUUUUUAGUUACCAAUUCGUUGGGUUCUCUAGAAAGACUGCCGGUGACAAACCGGAGGAAGGUGAGGAUGACGUCAAGUCAGCAUGCCCCUUAUGUCCUGGGCUACACACGUGCUACAAUGGUUAAGACAAAGAGUCGCGAGCUUGUGAAAGUCAGCUAAUCUCAUAAACUUAGCCUAAGUUCAGAUUGUAGGCUGCAACUCGCCUGCAUGAAG